Molecule: ribosomal RNA, 199 nt
Filed under: uncultured bacterium
Lineage: Bacteria
Description: partial 16S ribosomal RNA
Rfam family: Bacterial small subunit ribosomal RNA
Source: RNAcentral
ACGCUCGACACCUACUGGAGGCAGCAGUGGGGAAUAUUGCACAAUGGGGGAAACCCUGAUGCAGCGACGCCGCGUGGAGGAAGAAGGUCUUCGGAUUGUAAACUCCUGUUGUUGGGGAAAAAGAGGAUGGUACCCAACAAGGAAGUGACGGCUAACUACGUGCCAAGCAGCCGCGGUAAUCUGAGCGGGCUGGCAAGGC